Molecule: ribosomal RNA, 484 nt
Filed under: uncultured bacterium
Lineage: Bacteria
Description: partial 16S ribosomal RNA
Rfam family: Bacterial small subunit ribosomal RNA
Source: RNAcentral
AUUGAACGCUGGCGGCAGGCCUAACACAUGCAAGUCGAGCGGAUGAAGGGAGCUUGCUCCUGGAUUCAGCGGCGGACGGGUGAGUAAUGCCUAGGAAUCUGCCUUGUAGUUGGGGAUAACGUCCGGAAACGGGCGCUAAUACCGCAUACGUCCUGAGGGAGAAAGGGGGGGAUCUUCGGACCUCACGCUAUCAGAUGAGCCUAGGUCGGAUUAGCUAGUUGGUUGGGUAAAGGCCUACCAAGGCGACGAUCCGUAACUGGUCUGAGAGGAUGAUCAGUCACACUGGAACUGAGACACGGUCCAGACUCCUACGGGAGGCAGCAGUGGGGAAUAUUGGACAAUGGGCGAAAGCCUGAUCCAGCCAUGCCGCGUGUGUGAAGAAGGUCUUCGGAUUGUAAAGCACUUUAAGUUGGGAGGAAGGGCAGUAAGUUAAUACCUUGCUGUUUUGACGUUACCAACAGAAUAAGCACCGGCUAACUUCGUG